This 70-nucleotide transfer RNA is filed under the name Capsicum annuum. It matches the Rfam family "tRNA". Rfam says of the family: Transfer RNA (tRNA) molecules are approximately 80 nucleotides in length. Their secondary structure includes four short double-helical elements and three loops (D, anti-codon, and T loops). Further hydrogen bonds mediate the characteristic L-shaped molecular structure. tRNAs have two regions of fundamental functional importance: the anti-codon, which is responsible for specific mRNA codon recognition, and the 3' end, to which the tRNAs corresponding amino acid is attached (by aminoacyl-tRNA synthetases). tRNAs cope with the degeneracy of the genetic code in two manners: having more than one tRNA (with a specific anti-codon) for a particular amino acid; and 'wobble' base-pairing, i.e. permitting non-standard base-pairing at the 3rd anti-codon position. Lineage: Eukaryota; Viridiplantae; Streptophyta; Magnoliopsida; Solanales; Solanaceae. The record is from Rfam by way of RNAcentral.
GGGUCCUUAGUAUAGCUAGAGCUUUUGACUGCAGAUCAAAAGGUUACCAGUUCGGACUUGGUAAAACCCU